This 125-nucleotide small nucleolar RNA is filed under the name Echinops telfairi (small Madagascar hedgehog). RNAcentral describes it as "Small nucleolar RNA SNORA61 (ENSETEG00000025080.1)". The record is from RNAcentral. Lineage: Eukaryota; Metazoa; Chordata; Mammalia; Afrosoricida; Tenrecidae.
UCGCUCAAGAUUUCUUAUCCCUCCAGCCUAAAUAUUGGUUUGAGUGGCUUAAAAAAAGAGGAGGAAAAGUAAAAUUGAAAUGAACUUGGAGUCUUUAGCAACAAACAAGUUCAUUUCAAAACAGA